UUUCGGGGCGGGGUGAAAUUCCCCACCGGCGGUAUAGUCCGCGACUCCUUAUCCCUGCGGUAAGGACUGAUACGGUGAAAUUCCGUAACCGACGGUAAUUGCUUAAACAAAUAUUAAGCAUAAGUCCGGAUGAGAGAAA
Molecule: non-coding RNA, 139 nt
Filed under: uncultured Eubacterium sp.
Lineage: Bacteria; Bacillati; Bacillota; Clostridia; Eubacteriales; Eubacteriaceae
Description: FMN riboswitch (RFN element)
Rfam family: FMN riboswitch aptamer (RFN element)
About the family: The RFN element is a highly conserved domain that is found frequently in the 5'-untranslated regions of prokaryotic mRNAs that encode for flavin mononucleotide (FMN) biosynthesis and transport proteins. This element is a metabolite-dependent riboswitch that directly binds FMN in the absence of proteins. In Bacillus subtilis, the riboswitch most likely controls gene expression by causing premature transcription termination within the 5' untranslated region of the ribDEAHT operon and precluding access to the ribosome-binding site of ypaA mRNA.
Source: RNAcentral